Molecule: ribosomal RNA, 406 nt
Filed under: uncultured bacterium
Lineage: Bacteria
Description: bacterial SSU rRNA
Rfam family: Bacterial small subunit ribosomal RNA
Source: RNAcentral
UGGGGAAUAUUGCACAAUGGGUGCAAGCCUGAUGCAGCAACGCCGCGUGAGGGACGACGGCCUUCGGGUUGUAAACCUCUUUUGGCAGGGAAGAAGCGAAAGUGACGGUACCUGCAGAAAAAGCACCGGCUAACUACGUGCCAGCAGCCGCGGUGAUACGUAGGGUGCAAGCGUUGUCCGGAAUUAUUGGGCGUAAAGAGCUCGUAGGCGGUUUGUCGCGUCUGCUGUGAAAACCCGAGGCUCAACCUCGGGCCUGCAGUGGGUACGGGCAAACUAGAGUGCGGUAGGGGAGAUUGGAAUUCCUGGUGUAGCGGUGGAAUGCGCAGAUAUCAGGAGGAACACCGAUGGCGAAGGCAGAUCUCUGGGCCGUAACUGACGCUGAGGAGCGAAAGCAUGGGGAGCGAAC